Anolis carolinensis (green anole) is the source of this 11117-nucleotide long non-coding RNA. RefSeq lists it as uncharacterized. The record is from RefSeq and is a predicted model, not a curated record. The transcript is spliced from 2 exons. NCBI's taxonomy places the organism in Eukaryota, Metazoa, Chordata, Lepidosauria, Squamata, Anolidae.
GAUCUGGGAAUUUUGCCGUUGAUUCUGCUCUUUUAAUCUAAUAGUUUAUUCUGCCUGCCUUGACUGUACUGUCCCCAGCUACUGGGACUGGCUCCUCCUAUCCCUUGGGUACCAACAGCUGACACAGUUAAGUAAGCUUGUGGGAGGUGAUUGAUCCAGAAGGCUUUUCAUCCUUUCAAGAGAGCAGACAGAGUGACAGAGAACAGGGGUCUCCUGACUUGGUAGUGGCUAAGGUAAAUAUAGAGUCCAUCCAGACUGUUUGACUGCAAAUAAACUAUUGAGUUCCUGGGUUACCUGUUGCUAAAGAGCAUCCAGUUCAACAGAGCUGGAACCAUCAACUAGACAAGGCUGUUGAUCAAACUCUUUCUCGUCCUACUCACUUGAAUGAUGGCCCUAGUCAUGAGCCAAGGUUGCCGGCUCCAUUCGGGAUUCCUCUUCAUCAGGAUGGCAAACAGACAUGGAUGUCUCAUUCAUAGUAAGCCAGCCAAAGGCAAAGUGGGUCCACUGGAAACCAUCAUUGGCUUAACAGUGUUUUCUCUGGCUGUUCUUGGACCAGCUGGAUGGUUCCUGUCCCAUAUUCCAAGCUACAGAAUGAGGUAGAAGACAUUCUUCAGUUUCUGGAAGAUGUGGCUCAUCAGAUCAGCUAUCAACAACCCAUGUCAACUAAAAAUAGAAUGAACGCCUCCAGAUUUUAUCUCUGUUGCUGUGAUUCCUUUAUUUAUUAGCAACAAAGAGGAAUUGCUAGAUGUUAAGGAAUUACUUCACAAGUCUAAAUACCCAUGCUAUUACAGUAGAGUCUCACUUAUUGAAUGUAAGCGGGCCAGCAGAACAUUGGAUAAGCGAAUAUGUUGGACAAUAAGGAGGGACCAAGGAAAAGCCUAUUAAAAAUCAAAUUAGGUUAUGAUUUUAUAAAUUAAGUACCAAAACAUCAUGUUAUACAACAAAUUUGGCAGAAAAAGUAGUUCAAUAUGCAGUAAUGCUAUGUAGUAAUUACUGUAUUUACAAAUUUAGCACCAAAAUAUCACAACAUUGACUACAAAAACACUGACUACUAAAAGGCAGACUGCGUGGGAUAAUCCAGAAUGUAGCAUAAGCGGAUGUUGGAUAAGUGAGACUCUACUGUAUCUUGAUAAUCAUAAUAGCUAGGAGUUAUUUCAGAGCAGAAAAAAGUGCUGGAUUGAUCUUGUUGUUACUACAUGAAAUUUCAAAUUUUACAGACAAAAGUACCAGGUUUAUGAUGUCAAUUAUUUCUAUAGCAGUUCUAGAGAGUUUGCAGUUCUUUGAAUGCAUUUUCUCAGUCAUUUUACAACAACUUCUAUAAGGUUGAUUUGUUUGAUUGUUGCUAAAGGUAGUCAAAUUCCCAGGACUGGGUGGUAUAUUGGACCCUCCAGAACUUAUCAGGAGUUGCACCAAUUCUAUUUGUUGCUCCAGUUCUAUUUGUUGAUAUUAUCCAAAACACCUAGAUGGUGUAGAGGAGUGCAAGAGAUUUUUGUUGGCUGAUUCAGUGGUAGUAUUCUCGGGACGACAGAAAAGCAUGCAACAGGCUACACAGAGAUUGCCUAUUGCAUAGACCAGCAGAAAUGGUUAAAUUCCAGCUCCCACCACCAUGUGGACUCCAAAAUCUACAGGCUUCCCAAAAUAGCUGAAUAUAUGAACUGCAAUUGAAAGUUUUAUAAAAUUGCACAAUUUUCCAUCAAUAAAGUUCACCCUUUUAGUCUGCCAGGAACCAUACCUACUGUGGAAAGGGAAAGUCAAGAAAUCCCAGCCAGCUUACCAGUUGAAGUCCAAAACACCUGGAGGGAUGAAGUUGCCCAUGCCUGCUCUAGAGGAAUGCAUCCAAUACUUAUAGCAGAACUGCUCUGAGCCUGAAGAUAUUCCAGGUGAUGGCGUGGGAUUUGAAGCUCAUCCUUAGAUCAAGAGCUUGGAAAACUAGGAAGUGCUGGCUGGGGAUUCUGGUCAUUGAAAGGUCACAUUUUCAAACUCUUUUUAAAACCAACUCUCCACACCAACAAAUCAUGCAGAAACUCUUUGCAUAAUUACUUCUGAAGAACUGUUAGGCAAUGAUGGCAACACUUAGAAAAUCCAAAUGACAAGCCAUUGGAUUGGCUCAAGCAUGCCUAAGCUCAUGGUUGCUACAGGAAGCAUCUUCCUAUGUUUUGUCCCUAAAACAGGAAAUCUAGUCAGGAUCUAUGGAAAUUAGUAUCACCCAUUUGUGUGGUCAAGAAUGCUCUUCUAUGGCCAACACUGAAGGAGGAUUAAAUUUCUAGUUUGUGUGGCAUUUGUGCAUGGAGAGCUGUUCAGUGGAACAUACUGUCUCAGAGGGUGAUUGGCCCUCCUUCUUGGGAGAACCUUCAACAGAUUGGAUGGCCAUCUUUCAGGAGUGAUUUUGUUAUGGAUAUAUGCAUAGCAUGGCCUAGACUAGAUAGCUUGCCUUUGUGGUCACUUUCAACUCCAUGAUUUUAUGAAUCAGGGGGUAUCAUUUUGGCUUUUGUCUCAGCACAAUAUCUUGGGCUGGGCCUGACAUGUAUAACCUGUUCCGAGAAGAGGCCUUCCUAGUUAUUUAUUAGAUAUGAGAAAAAAUCCCAAAGAUUUCCUUCUUAUAAGUCUUAGUCCCACUCUGUACAGACUCCAAAGCAAUCUAGUAUUCAUCAGACAACACCAAUGAGAUUUUGACAAGCUGAAAACACAAAGGCAAGUACAAACUCUAUCUUGCCAGCAUGAUCACGCAUGAAAUGAAAUACGUGAAUCAUAAUUCCUUGGAGAUCAAAGAGCCCAUUCAUGCACUUCAAGUUAAUGAGCAGACCUAAUUGCUUAGAUUACCGAUUGGGGGCUCAGUUGUAUUUUUCCUCUUGUUUCUCACCCUGCAUCAUUCAGGGAAUGAUGAAAUGAUGUCUCCUAUUUAUUUUUAAGAAAAGUGAUGGUAAUGAGGAGUGAGACGGUCUAUCAGUGACCAUGUAAACAAAGGAUGUAAGCUAGUAUGGUGGGAAUGGCAGGAGGCAAACAUUUCAUUUUAAGUAAAAUGUGGAAAUAUGUUUGAUGUAUCUGGGAAAGUUAGAAUACAUAAAUGUUUAUUUUGAAUAGGAGGCUUCUGAUAUCCGUUGGAGCAGUUGUUUGAAAUAUAGAUCAAAAUUUAAACAAAAGAAUAUUGUGUAAUUUUGCUGGUCAAUCAACCGUGUCAUGAAUCAUUUUUAUAAAACAGGCAGAAGCAGGAAAGCUGCAUCAAUUGUUGCUACUAGUUCACAUCAUUGUCUUCUUCUGGAAAAAGCUCCCCCCCCCCUCGGAAGAAAUAGAAUCAUCAGCUGUCAUGUCAACACUAGUUAGGGGAUUCUGGCACUUGUAGUCCAAACAUUUUCAAGUUCUACUUCAAACUUUUUUUUGGAGAUUACGAUCAGCAAGACAAUUUCAUUAUCUGUCUCUCCCUGUGUAUCAUGGAUAUUUGACCCCAGAAAAUUGCCUAAAAUAUAUAAUAUAAUAUGCUGGGCUAUGAGCUAAAGGUUGGGGCAUUUCAUUAUACAUGUAUUGGUGACUUGUGGGAGGGCUCAGGAAUUUUGGAGUCCAAUACAUCAUUUGAUACAGAAGAUUUUGAAUGUUAAUAUUCAGUUGAUACUGGACUUGUUUCUGUUGAGAUUGAUGGAUGAUGCAAAUAUAUAUGCAGAAACAAAAAAAUAUCACAAUUCCAAUUAAUGAGAUUAGUUGUCGAAACUGGCUGACUUAGAGAAGCUGACAAAUUAUCAACUUUGAUGAAAGAAAGUCAGGGAACUUUUUGUUGUCUUUUUGCAGAAAAAUCUGGAUAACAUUAUCUGUAAGUUUUGAUACUUGUCAGUAUGAAUAUAGCACUUAUAAUCUGAGAAGUUAUUUUAUAUAGUAUGAGGUAUAACAAUAAUUAGAAAAUUCAGAAGUCAAAUGUUAAUUCUUGCUUAUCUUGCUCUGUGCUUUUUUUGGCUUUAUUUUUUCUGUCUACAGUAUAUAUAUAUUCUCUUUUUUAAUGUACCCGAAAGAAUCUAAUAAAACAUAUCAUGUUUGAACUGAAAAACAACAACACCCCAAACUGCUAAAUGGUAAAUCAAUACUAAUGUAAACUCCACUGUUUCUGUUUGGUAAACAUAACUGGGAUUUAUUAUGAAUUUUGGCCAUAACCACCAAACAUAACUGAGAAGUUAUGUUAAAUAUUCCUUUUUAUACCUUGAUUUAUAUUUAAUAAUAUUAAAUUAGCCAAAGCUGCUAGAAUAAUAUUAUAGUUUUAUUCUAACGAGCUGAGGACUACUACUUGUAUCCAUGGUUUGUGUAAUCAUACAUUUCUACAGAUGAAUACCAAGUAAUGAUCUUAUUUAUCAUGAGAAGACAAGAGUCAUUAGAACAGACAAUAACACUUGGUAAAGUGGAAGACAAUAGGAAAAGAGGAAGACUACAGUAUAUGUGUAUAGACUCAGGCUGGAUCUACACUGUCAAGGAUGCCACAUCACUGAUUUGCAAGACCUAAAGGCUGUUGAUAGCAGGAUGACUUUGACAUCUUUUGUUCAUAGAGUUACCAUAAGUCAAAGUUGACUUGACAGCAAUUAACAACAGCAAAUGACUGUAAUCCUAUUAAAUUAAAUUUCAGGAGUGACCAUCUUAAUGUGUUGUCAUAGGAAUAGAUAGAAUUAUAUGAUAAUUAUGUGAUCUAAUGAUCACAAAUUAAUUUUUUGAGAAACCUUUAUCUGUUUUCAUGAAAGAAACAUAAGCCACCUAAUACACUCAGGCCAGGGCUGGCAAUCUUUACAUCAAGAGCCUGAUGGUACAAUAGCCAUGUUUGUAUAUCUGAAAGGAUGCCAUAUUAAAGAUGAAGCUAAGUUGAUUUCUGCUAUUCUAGAGUAAGACAUGGAGCAAUUGAUUCAAACUACAGGAAAAAAGUAAGGAAAACAGUAAGAAGAACUUCAUGAUGGUCUGAGCUGUUUGAUAGUAGAGACAGUAGACUAUGUUGUCUUAGAAUGUGAUGGAGUCUCCUUCUUUGGAGUUCAUCUAUCAGGAGUGCUUUGAUUGUGUAUUCUUCUGCAGCAGAGGUUUGGACUAUAUGGGCCUUGUGGUUUCUUUCAACUUCAUAUUUCUAUAAUUGUAUGACUGAUGAAGAUAUGGCCAUAGCCCAAAGCAAUGGGAGGCCAAAGUUAAAAAAGAGCACAGAAAAGCUUUUUAUUUUUGCUUGUCUCAGUCAACCAAGACGGGGUAACUAAACUUUUAGCUACUGGCGUGGGUGGAGAUGAGGACACUGAUCCUGAACAAGAAUUCUGUCCCUGAAUUUUUCUCAUAUCCUCACAUUUCUAGCAAAGCAGUAACUUAAUACUUUAGUUGAGCUUUUAGAAACUCAUUUGAGGCAUUCCAAGAGUUUGAAGGGCCUCAUCACAAAGAUCAGGUAAAGUAUCUCACUUUGCCUGGCUUUGGGGAGAAAAGAGAGCUCCCUCUUGGCAACACUUUCCCCAUCACAAGGGGGAAGCGUUGCCCUUCUGCUGAGGACCUGGGAAGCCUCCUGUGUUGUGGGGAAAGCCUUCAGCGAUGUCUUCAUUCCUGUUGGGGGCAGGGCCUCUGCUGGAAGUCACACAAUGUUACGUGAUGGCUGGUGUGGGGCUUUGUCCUAGAAGACAGGGUGAAAGCAUCCUACCGUGUUUCCCUGAAAAUAAGACAGUGUCUUAUAUUAAUUUUUGCUCCCAAAGAUGCUUUAGGUCUUAUUUUCAGGGGAUGUCUUAUUUUUCCAUGAAAAAGAAUUCACAUUUAUUGUUGAACAAAAACAUGAAAAUUUAUUAUAUACUGUACAGUAGCUGUCAUCACAAACCAGAAUAAUCAGACAAACUGUGAAUCCUAUCAAGAAUUUCUUGUUACUACCACUAUUUCCAUGUACAACUAUCUAUGGUACAUACAUUUACCGAUCCUGCAUGCUCUGGUGUUCUGUUCAGUGAGCAUGCUUCCAAACAAAAACUUUGCUAGGUCUUACUUUCGGGGGAGGCCUUAUAUUUAGCAAUUCAUCAAAACCUCUACUAGGUCUUAUUUUCUGGAGAUGUCUUAUUUUAGGGGAAACAGGGUAGGGUGCUUUUUAGAUAGAUGUGAUGAGGUUGUAGGUGUGAACAAUUUUCAGUGUCUUACUUUCCACCACGUUAGAGAUUUGGAGACUAAAAUAAUAUAUCAUGAGGCAAAGAAUUCUUUCCACUCCGUAGCUACACCUAGAGGAUACCUAUCCUCUUUCUUUCUGAACACCAGCUACAUUGGUUAUUGAUUGAUGGCUGGGACCGAUGGGAGCUAGAAUCAAACCACCUCUGGAGGUCCACAAACCCUCACCCUUGAUCUAGAUGCAUCCUUUCAACAUAUGCUAGACUGUACAUUCUUCACUAUUGGCUAUGUUGAUUAGCAUACCAAUAGCAUCCUGAGGAACACAUGAGUCCCACACCUGAUCUAGAAGCUAUAGAUGUGCUGAUACAAUCUUCUGCAUGUUUAUCCUUGGCUCAGUGCAAAAAUAUAUUCAUUUAAAAUAUUUAUAGCCUAACCUUCCAACCCCUACGGAUUACAAGGUGGUUAGCGGAAAGCAAUGAAACACAGCAAUCUGAAAAAAACCCCAAAAAACCAAAGGGUUGUCACAAAGAGGAGUGCAAAGACUCAUUCUCUGUGCUGAAAGGGGGAAAAUUUGAUCUUGUGAGUUUAAGUAACAGCAGCCUAGAUUUUGGUUGGACUCUUGGGGAAAUGUAAAGAUAAUAAGGGGCAAUUUGACUAAGGAAAUGGUUGCUUAGGGGGAAGAUGGUCUGUAUGUCUCUGGAGAUUUUCAAGGCGAGGUUACUUGCUAGGCUAUCAGUGUUUUAACAAAACACAGUCCUAAUCUCUGUUAAACAUCAUGGGUUGGCACUGCCACACUCAUAAUAAGACCCAUGUUUCCAUAGAGUACUAUGAGAUGCCUUCCAACUAUUCUGAUUUGGUAGAGAAAAUUACAAUUAAUUAUAUGUCAUCCCACUUUUAAAACUUAUUUUAAAAUGUCCCAGUUUCUUUCUUGUCUUUCUACUUUUCCCCUUUGCCCUCAAAAUUCUUCUAUGGCUGUAGAAGUACCAUACUUUGCAUUUAAAUAACUCAGCAGGUAGGAGAGGAGGGAGUAAAAUCUUGCAUUUCCCUGUAGACUCAGGCAAAAGUAAACUACAAUAGCUUUUCUUCGCUUAUCUGUUCUUCCUCAUUAUUACAUUUUGUCAUCUCAACCACACUGAUUCUGCUUGAGCACAUCUCCUUGUUUUAACUUGGGCAAUGUUGGAGAGUGUGCUGCCACCAGUUGGAAUAUCCUUAUGCUCAAGAUCUUUGCAGGAUCUAUUUAGGAUACUUAAAUAAAGUUCAACUCUGUGAGGUUCACCUGCCCCUGAAAAUACUACAAUGUAAGUGAGCUUCAUGUAUGAAACCCUGCCAGGUAUUUUAAGGCCUUAUUAUUCUCCCAAGCAUUUAAGGACUGUUUCAUAGUUUGUGUGCUUCAAAUUCUUAUCCUGCUCUUGAUUUUAAUUUGGUUUCAGAUGCUGAAAUCUUUUAUUCCCAGUUGAGAGUUUCUCUUGGUUUUAUUUUUGACUUCUUCAGUCGUGUAUUAUUGAUGCAGUUCAUAUUUUAGAAGACUGCACACUGCAAAGAGAAUUCUGGUUAGUGGGUGGUUUAAAAAUGCAAUAAAAUAAAUGCAUGCAUAAACUCACAAGAUCCACGACUGGUGCCUGACAUGAGAGGCAUACAUUUAGAAUUAAAGAAUACUAAGCCCACGAAUUGAGUACCCAAAGGGACCCCAGCUCACAAUCCCUAUAUACAAGAAUUCACUUUUUCAAUGUUUUUGUUAAACAUUGGGGAAUCAAAAAUCCUUGAGUGUAUCGGCACUGUAGAAAUAAUGUAGUUUUACAACACUCCUAUGGUACAAUGCUAUGGAAUUAUGGGAUUGGUUGUUUGAUAGCAUCAGUAUUCUUGGGCAGAAAAAGCUAAUGCCCUUGUAAAACUACGACUCUCAUGAUUCCAUGACAUUGAGCCAUAGCAGUUAAAGUGGCACAGUGUAGAGGCACCCCUUACUGAUCUACUGCAAAAGACUGAGAAGUCUCCUAAUAGAUUUUGAUUUACCUUUCAACUUUCCUAGAAUAAGCUUACUAUCUAUUGUAUUGUAUUGAGAAGAGAAGAUCCAAAUAAUCUUCUGCUUUCUAAUCAAAACACAAUUGGAAGAAAUAGGGCAUCCGGAUGUUAUAUAAAGUACAAAUAUUUUCACUCUCUAGAUUGUAAUAACUAGGGCAAAUGUUCUAAAAAUGUUUUUUGUUCAGGGAAACAACACCAAUUUGUUUAAAGAUGUGGCAUUUUGCAUCUUUGCUACUGGUGUGUGUGCAUAUGUGCCUUCCAGUCACCUGUAGACUUAUGGCAAUGCUAUUAAUUUCCUAGGGUUUCCUAGGCAAGGAAUACUCAGAAGUGGUUUUCCAAGUUCCUUCUUCUGAACUAUAAUCUAUAGCACCUGGAAUCUGUUAGCAGUCUUCCAUCCAAGUACUAACCAGAGCUAACCCUACUUAGCUUCCAUGAUUAUAUAGGACAGUGGUUCUCAACCUGUGGGUCCCCAGAUGUUUUGGCCUUCAACUACCAGAAAUCCUAACAGCUGUAAGGUGGCUGGGGUUUCUCCUACAAGGAUGGUAAAAACAUCCAGGCAUCCCCUGGGCAACAUCCUUGCAGACAGCCAAUUCACUCACAACAGAAGCAACUUGCAGUUUCUCAAAUCGUUCUUGACACACACACAAAAAAUCUCCAACCCCUUCAAAAUCUAGCUGAAGAAUUGGAAAAAAUUAGCAGUCCCAUUUCCAAACUCUUGAAAAAUCUAGCUCUCCUAUCUUCAGCCUCUUGGGGAAAAAAGAAGCAGAAAAUUAAGCCAGGAGCAAAGUUUCUUCUAAGAGACAAAAUGUUUCUAUAGAUCUCUUAGAUGUCCUUCCCUAUGUUAACAUCCGGAAACUUUCUCAUAUCAUCUUAAGGCAAGGAUGAAUCAUAACAUACUCUUUUUCCAUUUCUAAUCAGCCGCCUUGCAAGCUGUUCUGAAAAGAUCAUAUCAGGUUAUAGUUACGGCAACAAAACAGACAGUUCAAAGCACACAUUACGUUACUUUUUCAGUAUAAAGACAGACUUUCAUGUUUACUGCAUGCAAAGCCAACAAAUGCCAGUGACUUGUGGUUCCUGUUGCUGCAAAUAUUGCUUUCUAAUUAUGCAAAGGAUCAAUGGAUUGUUCACUGGAUCAAUAUAUUUUAUUAAACAAUGAUUUUGAUAGUUUGUAAGUUCAAGGUACUUUAUGUAUUCCUCCUGUACAGCAGGAAAAGCAGUGGAGGACAUCAUAAUAGGCAAAAUUACCUAAGGAUACAGGAGCAUCUACACCAGGCAUGGACAAACUAAGGCCUGGGGGCCGGAUGCGGCCCCCUGGGCGCUCACCUCAGGCCCUCCUCAUUUUCCCUGUCCUCUUGGCAUGAAGCCACAAUGGCCCACCACAUCCUUAUGCAUAAAGGAUGGGGGAGAAAGGCAUGCAGCAGCUGAGAACCCUUUGGAGUGCUCUGAGCCACUGCAUGUCUUGCCCUCCUCCCGGCAUAAGGACUUUAUGAGCAGCCCUGUUCUUAUGCUGGGAGCACGGCUUGAGGAAGGCACACUCCAGGGUGCUCUCAGAUGUCACCUGCCUCAUUCUCCUCCCAGCAUAAUACUGAGAGGACAGCCCGGAUAUUGAGGGGGAGUAUUGGGGAGGAAUUGGGGAGGAAGAUCAGGGCAGUCGCACACUUGUCUUGUUUUCCUCCCGGCAGAAUGAUGUGGUGAGCAACCCUGUCCUUAUGCCACAAUGAAGCCCCAAGGCAAAAAGGUUUGCCAUGCGUGAUCUACCCUGUAGAAUUAAUGAAGUUUAAAGCCACUUCAACCGCUAUGGCUUAAUGCUGUGGGAUCACAGGAGUUGUAGUAUUGCAAGGUCUUUAGCAUUCUUUGCCAAUGAGUGGUGGUGCCUCACCAAAAGACAACUCUCAGGAUUCCAGAACAUUAAGCCAUGGCAGUUAAAGUAGUGUCCAGCUUCAUUAAUUUUACAGUGUAGGUGCACCCAAGUCAUAAUGAAUUCUGGAGAAGCUUCAUAAGGAUACAGGUGCAUAGACGUGCAUGGAAUUGUGAAAGUCCUUGAACACAGAAAAGUGUGAUGAGAUUUAGCUGGGAGGCAUCAUUUUACCUGGUCAUCUUAUUCCCUCUCUGCCACAUUCUUUUUCAGGAUUCCUGGAGCUCAGCCAAUCAAGAGUCUGGCUGAGGACAGGGGGAGAAUGAACUUGUUUGGCUUGUGAUGUAGGCUACAUUUAAUUUUUCCAAAUCUUCUUCAGCAUUUGGGUUCUUGGUGCCUUCACUUUUGCCCUUCCUUAAGAAUGCACCCAGUUUUCAGGGAAGGUUCAUCACCAAUAGAGUCUCCUGAAGGGGUUCUGAGGAGUCUACCUCCCUCUAUUCCAGUCCAAUAUCUCUUAGAGUCAAUAGGUUCUAAAGUUUAGACAGAUCCUCUUUCCUUGUCAUUUGAAUCCACUAAUUUUCUGUUCCAGAGCAGCAGAAAACAAGCUUAUUCCAUUUCCUAUUAUCUUCCAUCUUUUCAGAUACUUAAAGAAGGCUGUCAGGUUGCCUCCAAAUCUUCUUUUGUGCAUGUGAAACAAAUCUAGCAACCUAGAUCAUUCUUCAAAAGGUUUUGUUUCUAGAUCUUCAAUCAACUUGGUCAUCCUUCCCUGGAUAUGUUUCAGUUUGUCAGAUGGAAGUCCAAUAUCACUAUUAGAUGGCAGGGAAAUGUCUAGCAACUUAAAGCCAAGUAGAUUCUGUGGCUGUCAUUAGGUGGGUCAAAAAGGGACUGAUGCUCAUGUGGCUAUCAGGCCAACGCUGUUCAUCUGUUUCCAGUCAUACUUUACAUGCUUAUAGUAUUUUGACUUCCUCUGUCAAAUGACAGAACUUCACCACUGAAGAAAUACAACCAGAAAAGAGAGAGAUCUCGGCUCUGUUUCCAGUUGAGAAAAUGCAGAGCAAGGGAAACAAUGUGGGGUAUCUUGUAUCCAUUGCUUUGAAUGUAGUACCUAAUUGGUUUUUUUUAAUGUUUUGUUGGCUUGGCCCAUACAAAUAAAAAGAUAGUUCUGCAA